This 3820-nucleotide long non-coding RNA is filed under the name Lactuca sativa (garden lettuce). RNAcentral describes it as "long non-coding RNA (LSAT_LNC007194)". Lineage: Eukaryota; Viridiplantae; Streptophyta; Magnoliopsida; Asterales; Asteraceae. The record is from RNAcentral.
CUUCUACCACCACUAUCACCGUGAGAAUAUCUUCCAACCACCGACCCACCUCAUUGCUACUACACCAACAGAAACCUUAGCCUCUACUUUGUUACUUUCUUUCUUUCCAGAACACCGUGCUCCGUCAGCACCAUCCAACGCCAAUCUUUUCCUCAUUCACCAUCAAACUUGGUAUUGUUUGUCGUCAACUUCUAGAUCUGAGAAAAAUCGAAGGAGAUACAGAGAAACGCAUAGAUGGGAAAUAUGAAGGCUGAUGGAGGUCUGCAACCUGGAUCAAGAAGGUGGGCUUUUUUAUUAAUGAUAAAAUGUGACGUUUUUUUUUACCUUUUCUUUUUCAGGUUUCUUUUGAUAUAAUAUAAAAUCGGAAGAGUAGCAAGAAAUGAAAAUCUCGAUUUAAUUUGUUUUUAGACAAACCCCUCUUUAUCAGAUACUCCCAAAAGUAAUUUUUAUUUGUGAUCAUUUUUGCUGGAUGUUGUCUUAUGAAACAUUACAAAAACAUCAUAAACAUUUUCUAACUUGAAAUUUUGCUUGUUUGAAAGAUUUUUGCUUUUAGGGGUUUUACUGUUGAUGCAAGUUAUGGAAAGAUUGCAAUAAAAGUUAUAUUUUGUCUUAAUUAACGUGCAUAUAACAUAUAAAUUUGCUAAAGUUUAUACUCAUUAUUGUUUAACAUUUUGUUUCAGCAACCCAAAUGACUAUUAAUGACCAUUGAAAUUGGUGAAGGACUAGAGAGGUGGAAGAUCCUAUUCUUUCAACAUCAUUCUCAACAUUGUAAGGGCUAUUAAGGAUUCUCAAUUCUGCCAUGUUUAACAUUUAGUUUUAGCAAACAAAACUAUCUAUCUUGUGUUUGUCAAAGAUAUGCAUUAUUUAGCUAUUUUUUGAUUUAAAUGAUUUACAAAAAAUCAUUUAUUUCCGGAAUUUAUUUCAUUUAUGUGGUUAUAUAAAGUUUGUAGAUGUUGUAUAUAUGUAUGUAUUUGUGUAUGUAUCUAUGUGUCUAUCUAUUUGUGUUUAUAUGUGUAUCAGUUUAUGUAUAAUAAUAAAUAAAAUAAUUUUUUCUCAGAUUUGGAAGUGCUUGGAGAGGCAUAGUAGAUGUUGGCAUGCCAAAGAUCGUACUUGAGAUGCUUGAAAGAAGGGUGCUUGAGAAGAAUUACUUAUUAAGGUAUGUUAAAAUGGUUUAUGAUCCUUAUGUUUGUUUGAGUUCAUUUCAACUAUUUUUGAGUUUUUAUGAUCCUUUGUUUUUCAUUUAUAUUGCUUAGUUAUUCCAAUGGUUUUCUUGGUCUUUAAAUGAACACCAUUUUUCCAUGAAAUUGCUCAAUAUCUAACCACAUCGUGAUAUUAUAUAGUAUCUUGUAGCAAAGUGAGCACAUUCCAUCUGAAGAUACACUUUGAAAGGUUAAAAAAGAAAUCGAUACACAUGCUCAAACAUCAUGUUCUAUAAUUUAUGAAAAUAUAUAAAUCAGUAAACAACCAAAUAGAGCCACGUCAUUUGUUAUAUAGUUUCAGUUUUACAUAAUCUAAGUUAUCUUAUCUUUCACUGGUUGUUUCAUUAGAAAAUUUAUAUUAUCUUAUAUAAAUAGAUUGCCCCGGCCCUAACUAAGAGUCAGAGGGGAUGUCGGAUGGUGUAAAUUAAAUUAUGCUUCUUUUAUCUUAUUGAACAUAAACCAAACCUUAAGGUAGUCCAAGAGCAUAAUUGGAUGUAACAAGGAGCAUGCAUUCAAUUCAAUUGAGGUAGUUUCUUUUAGUUGUUUUACUAGGGACAUUUACUUUCAUUGUAUUUCUGUUAGAAAGCUAUUUGUUUCAUCUAUUAUUAUUCACACCAUCUAUUUUUGAAAAAUGCAAGUACAAGUAAUGCACUUUAAUUUUAUAUUUUUUGAAUUUACUUUUAAAAAGUUUAGUUUCUAAUUUGGAACACCAUACUUCUUGCAUUAAUUCUUUCCAUUAAAACAAAAAUAGUAAUCUACUUACAUUUUUGUUUUGUAUUUCAAAAUUAUUGUUCAUUGCUAUUACUUGCGUGAUAGCAACUUACAUAAUUUUAAUGUAUUUACCCAUAAAAAGAAAUAAGCUUUCCUUUGGAAUUUUGGAACCAUAUGCCCUUUUACAUACAUUGACUAUCCUUAUUGUGGUUCAGAUCCUUGUUAAAAGAAUAACUCAUGGAUUUUCAAAAUGUUAUGAAUUGGCUUGAUCAUGUAACUACCCUCAUAUAGACUAUCUUUUUAAAUGUAUGAUAUAAUCUUAUCUUAUAUUUCCCUAUUUCUCAUAAAUAUUGUAAUAUUUUCAAAUAUACUUCCUACAUGAUUCACAUAAUCACAUGACUAUGGGUGACAAAUUCAAUCACUAAAAAAUCAUCCCUGUUGCCUAUAAUUGGUUUUGAUUACAAUUCUUGGCCAAAUUAAGUAAUUAUAUUUUAAAUCUUUACAUAUUUAUGGUUUCUUAUUUAAAAAUUGGCAUUUACUUUUGUUUAAACUAUGAAGCUUUUAAACUAUGAAGCUUAUAAAUUAUAUAGUGUAAAUGUUUUUUAUUUGUUAAUUUAUUUAUGUUUUUGAGACGUUGAUUUUUUUGAUGAUUUUCAGGAGAAUAAGCUUCGGCUAAAAUUUGGAAUACACUUAAAAUAAAGUUGGAUAUUUUGUUCCAAACUAAUUUGUUUUUUUUCCAUGCCCACGACAUAAAUUUUCUAAAAGGAUAUUACUUCAUAGUAACAUUUAAAGAGAAACAUAUUAUAAACUAGCUGGAUGCCCAUGCUCCGCAUGGGACGGAAGGAUGUCGGAUUUUUUGACUACACGACAGACAAACUAAAUGCCGUAUGUAGAAUUUGUUCGAUGGGUAAUAGGUUGGAACUGAUUACAUUUUUAGGACAUAAUCAAUGCGAUGGUUCGAUGUGCAAAUAUAUUAUUUAGUUUUUAUUACUUUACAAAUUAUGUCAAAAUGUUUAAUUAGUGUUGCGUCAUCAUAAGAAAAGACAACUCAUUUGAAUAAUUAUACCCAAACAAGAAAAGACAACUCAUUUGAAUAAUUAUACCCAAACAAGAAAAGACAACUCAUUUGAAUAAUUAUACCCAAACGAAUUUAUUGUUCAAAACAACAAAAGAGUAAGCAACACUCAAAUAUUAUAAAAUGGCUUGAUAAACAUCUCACCCUUUCUAACUUCUAUUUAAAUCUGUCACUUAUAAAGUCUAAUAAACUUAUUUAGUUUCAAACAUAAGAUAUUGACAUGCCAUUACCACUCUCUAUGUUUAUAGGAAUCAUAUAUAUUUUUAAUGAUUGGGCUAUAAUUAAUCAGUUAUAAACACAACCCUGCCAUUUCCUCUAUUGUUGCCCUCUGUAGUUUCACAUGUUUACAUAUAAAUACCUUCAGAUAACAAACAAUCAUUCACUAAAUGGAAAAUUACAAAGAAAAAAAUAUGAGACUAUCCCAUUGGAACUUUUUGCAACCGGUUGCUCAUUAAAAAACAAUAAAGCUACCAUUAAAUUAUUAAUACAAAGCAUACAUAACAACCCAUUAGAUGUUAGUAUCUUUAAUCAAAAAUAGAAGUUACAUAUGAUCACUUGCAGAAACGUGCCAACUGAAUUUUGAUAGUUGCUACUUGAUGUUGAUGAUAUUAAAAAUACUAAUGAUGAAGCUACUAAGUUUAUAAAUAUCAGCAAAAUUAUUGUCAUUACCACAUAUGAAACUAUGGCUAAUAAACCUACACUUAGCUAUAUACUUGUUAGUAUUUACCAAUUACCAUUUGUAGUUCUAUCUUUCACCCAACACCCAACAUAUCACCUGUUUUCAAAAAAAAAAAAAAUUUAAAAAUAAAAAAAAAUCCCAACAUAUGACCUGUAC